AUUGGACGCUGGCGGCAUGCUUUACACAUGCGAGUCGAACGGCAGCGCGGGCUUCGGCCUGGCGGCGAGUGGCGAACGGGUGAGUAAUACAUCGGAACGUGCCCAGUAGUGGGGGAUAGCUCGGCGAAAGCCGGAUUAAUACCGCAUACGACCUGAGGGUGAAAGCGGGGGAUCUUCGGACCUCGCGCUAUUGGAGCGGCCGAUGGCAGAUUAGCUAGUUGGUGGGGUAAAGGCCUACCAAGGCGACGAUCUGUAGCUGGUCUGAGAGGACGACCAGCCACACUGGGACUGAGACACGGCCCAGACUCCUACGGGAGGCAGCAGUGGGGAAUUUUGGACAAUGGGCGAAAGCCUGAUCUAGCAAUGCCGCGUGUGUGAUGAAGGCCUUCGGGUUGUAAAGCACUUUUGGCGGGAACGAAAAGGACUGUGCCAAUACCACGGUUCGAUGACGGUACCCGCAGAAUAAGCACCGGCUAACUACGUG
This 484-nucleotide ribosomal RNA is filed under the name uncultured bacterium. Its description in RNAcentral is "partial 16S ribosomal RNA". It matches the Rfam family "Bacterial small subunit ribosomal RNA", at positions 29 to 507 of the family's 1533-position model. The record is from RNAcentral.